CUCUGCUCUUAGAUUGUUGUCAUGUGUCAAAUCAUACAGCCCAGGGGGAAUGACUACAUUGCGCAGGAAAAACAGACAUCGAGCCGUGGUCAGACCACCUCAAAGAUAAACACUGCUGUGUGGACCAGAAGAAGAAAGGUCGAAAAACAAUCUGAAGCCUCAGACACUGAGUAAUAACAAAUAGAAAUACUACUUGUCUUUUGGAAUCUUUUUUUGCUGAAAAGUGUGAAGCGAUUCCAGAGAUAUUCUGAACAGAGGGACCCCAUCAGCAUGCAGUCCUAUAGGAGAAUGCAACCUGUCUGCACCUUCUUCCCAAGGGGGCCAGUGAAUGAAUGAACGAAAGAAUAAAUGAAUGAACAAACCA
Molecule: long non-coding RNA, 364 nt
Organism: Homo sapiens (human)
Lineage: Eukaryota; Metazoa; Chordata; Mammalia; Primates; Hominidae
Exons: 2
Source: RefSeq, a predicted model, not a curated record